GUUUUAACGUGUUCAACCUUUUAGGUGCAUUGACGUUAAAACUUAUCUGCUGUGGAUUUUUGAUAAUUGAAAAUGAAUUAUUAAAGAUUGAGGGCUCCACUUUGUGUGAGGACAGCGGAUUGACGAUGCGAUACGACCCGUCUUGAAACACGGACCAAGGAGUCUAGCGCGGGUGCGAGUCGGAAGGUGUAAAAACCUGUGGGCGAAGUGAAAGCGAGAUAAAACUCUCAGUUUGAGGCGGCAUAUUUUCGUUGAAAAUAGGUCCGACCUUGAGCAGUUGCGCUGGGACCCGAAAGAUGGUGAACUAUGCCGGAGUAGGGCAAAGCCAGAGGAAACUCUGGUGGAGGCUCGUAGCGGUGCUGACGUGCAAAUCGCUCGUCGAACUUGGGUAUAGGGGCGAAAGACUAAUCGAACCAUCUAGUAGCUGGUUUCCUCCGAAGUUUCUCUCAGGAUAGCGGGCCGACAUAGUGUUGUUUUGUGCGGUAAAGCGAAUGAUUAGCGUAUUUGGGGACAUUUUGUCUUCAGACGAUUCUCAAACUUUCAAUGCACAAGGGUGUUGCUGCUUAAUUGAGCUUCACCGGUAAAAACGUCGGCCCUGUGGGCCACUUUUGGUAAGCA
RNAcentral lists this ribosomal RNA (618 nucleotides) under Gelidium sp. LLG-2014. RNAcentral describes it as "eukaryotic LSU rRNA". It matches the Rfam family "Eukaryotic large subunit ribosomal RNA", at positions 511 to 1146 of the family's 3401-position model. The record is from RNAcentral. Lineage: Eukaryota; Rhodophyta; Florideophyceae; Gelidiales; Gelidiaceae.